Molecule: long non-coding RNA, 975 nt
Filed under: Nicotiana benthamiana
Lineage: Eukaryota; Viridiplantae; Streptophyta; Magnoliopsida; Solanales; Solanaceae
Description: long non-coding RNA (NBEN_LNC024054)
Source: RNAcentral
AACAGUAUGCUUAACAACUUGAAUUCAGAACCCAGCAACUGCGUUACAAUUAAAUCCAAUCAACACUAUUUAAUUAAUACUGGACCUCAGAAAUUAAUAUGCUGAAAUAUGAGCCUGUUUCUAUAACUGCUAAAACACGAAAUAAACUACGCUAUACUAUACUACACUACAUUAAUAACACAAGUUAAACUGAAUUACAAUUACUAAUUAUUGAUUCUAUAUGCUCCUAGUUAAACAUAAAAUCAAAUCACAAUCCAAGAGUUAGGAAUAGUCCUAACAGUCCAGAAUUAGUUUAGUUAAACAGACUGGCACCAAAUCUCAAAUAAUCAGGCCAUUUUACAAGUUAAAACUGAACAUAGAUGAAAUGAACUCAGGAUUCGACUUCAAACAACAAUUUAAACAACAUUUCUUCAUAUAUUCCCAGAUCAAAAUUACACUGAUCCUUCAAGUUCAUAGGAGAUAAUAAACGUACAUGGGAAAGUGAAUUACAAUAAGAGGAAGAAGGAGUUAGCACAACAACAGUAGUCAGAGUUGCAAACAGCAGUCACACAUGAUCGAUUUCAUCCAGAAAUAUCCCAGAGGUCCAGAAAUGUGUCAGAACCACACGAGAUUGAAUAACAGCUUCUAAACAACUCUAAUAGGGAGAGCAAAUACUGCUUCACACUCUAGAUUAUCGGACAAAACAAGACAUUCAAGUAAUUUUUUUACCAUAGCUAAGCUAGCAGGUUGAUUUGAAAGCUGAAAUUGAGAAACUAACAAUAAUACUUCAACGGAACAGUACUUUCCUCAUUUUUUAAUUUUCUAGAGGUUUUCUAUUGUUUGAAUUUUUGAAGGUAUGUAUUUCACAAAUGCAGAUCUGAAAAUUAAAAGAAGAGAAAAGUUUUGGCUUCUUUUUGAUGAUUGAAAGGAACCCCCUUCACAAGGCAUGAGAAUGCCUUUUAUAUAGGCCUAGAAUGAGGGAACUUCAGAUCUUCC